UCGGAAAUAACGUGAACCACUCUGCAUUGCCGAAAGCUCUGUCCAGACGACAUUGAAUCCAAACUUUUUCUUUCACACCAUUGUUCAUGAUCUCCCUAGCGCCUCCCCAAGACAGUCUAUUACCAGAGCUCGGUACUUCUUUCAACCUGCAAUCCCUAGCCAAAGCUCUGAACUCAAAGAAAGAACUCUCCUCGCAUUGAGGCCCUCCCACUUUCUCUGAGUUAUUCAUAAUCUCAUUAAAAUCACCAACAAGAAACCAGCCACUAUUCCUUCGCAAGCCAACAUCUUUUAACUCAUUCCACACUGCUGUUCUUUGAUGUCGAACUGGAUCACCAUAAACAAAGGACAUAAAAAACAUAAAUCCCCGAGCUUAACUUCUGUAUCUAUUAUCCUCGCAGAGCUGAUAGAAUCUGCACC
This 417-nucleotide long non-coding RNA is filed under the name Brassica napus (rape). RNAcentral's name for it is "long non-coding RNA (BNAP_LNC015556)". Lineage: Eukaryota; Viridiplantae; Streptophyta; Magnoliopsida; Brassicales; Brassicaceae. The record is from RNAcentral.